This is a long non-coding RNA of Lolium perenne, 2149 nucleotides long. RefSeq lists it as uncharacterized. The record is from RefSeq and is a predicted model, not a curated record. NCBI's taxonomy places the organism in Eukaryota, Viridiplantae, Streptophyta, Magnoliopsida, Poales, Poaceae.
UGGGAUGAUAGGCCUCCUGAUUUUAUUAGAGCUGAUGUUAUUCAUGAUGUAACUCUGAUGGAGAUUGUACCGAAUAUUUGAACCCACGGCAGCAAGUUUCUUACGCACUCUUUUCUUUACCAGGGUACCGAAGGGGACUGGAAGGUUUUUAAUGAGGCGGCUUGCUUGCUUAAUAUAUUUUAUUUCAAAAAAAAAGAGGUCUACUAGUGAAAAAGUCUAUGCAUUGGUUCAAAUUAAUGGUCAAAAUUAUGGCUCACCACGUUAAUUUCGUUUCUAUUUCCCAGACUCGCUCGUACCCAACAUUAAUUGAUGUAAUUACCCCCAAGAGAUGGUGUUACAUCGCCCUUUGGCGUCCAGGCCCCCAAUCCUCUCCUUGCGCCCUCCUCAAUCGAUUCCGGCCAGCUCCGGCACCACCUUCACCUUCUCCACCGAACACAUUGCUUAGAAUCGUCGCUUUGGAGCACCUCCCGACGAUUCCUACCUAACUCCGGCGCUCGAUCCCGACUACCCAACUCCCGAUGCAGCUCGCCGCCCCCCGUGAACGGGCCACCGGCCCCGCGCGCCGGCAGUGACGCCGCCCUGGUGCCUCACCUCUGCAUCCCUCCUUCGGUGGCCAAGAGCAUUUCGACGCGACGGUGAAGCUCGGUGACGGCCGCGUCCGGCUGGCGGAGCGGUUGUGGCAGCAGUCCGCGGGUGCGCAGGGCUGGCGGCGGGGAGGGGUUGGGGACGUGAUGCUGGUCGCCCCGAGAUGCUCCCGGCGGCCACGACCCCUACCUCCUGCCGCCUGCCAUCGCUCCAACCUUCCGUUGGCGGCUACCUCCCCUCCUGCCGGCGGUGGUUGCUCGUACUGCCUCUCCCAAAUGGCGGCACGGUGAUGCUAGCCCUACAAGACACCGUGUUGCAUAGCCUCACUGUCCUCCAAGGCAGCAGAAGGUGGAGAUAUGGGCUAGUGAUAAAAUACAACAAGACGAUCGUACAUUCAUAGGAAAGUGGGAUGUACAAGACAUUAUUGUGUCAUCUCUACAGCUUUGUGGACCUGAAAAUUCAAGGAGCUUGGAAGAGGCACCAAGACACAUGAAACGACAGUUCCCAAGUCCUAUCCGCUGUGAAGAAGGUGAUGCUAAGCUGGGCAAAGACGGCACGGACUGUGGCGCAGGGUGGUGCUGCGCAAAGUUGCUCAACGUCGCCGCCGGUCCAGCAACUCCGACUUUGGUGCUGCGGAGGUUGAGGACGACCACCAACAAGGGCCCACCAAGUCCAAGAACGAGGCAGUUUCACCACCGGCAACAGCACCACAUCGAGUUGAUGUGGGAGGGAAAGAGAGUGGGAGGACCUGUCAGCUUGCCGGUGGGUGGUGACUACAUGGAGCAUUGAGAAGUGGGAUGUGUAGCUGCUGGUACGGCUGGACGUCGGGGGCGAGCUUUUGGCUCAGCCCGAGUUUUUCGCAGCUCGCCGCUGCUGGAGAAGUUUACCCACCUGCCAGUGACACACACAUGCUCAGCUCGCGAGUUGCUCCGAGCUGCACCGAGCUUUGCACAAGCUCAGGCCGAGCCCCUUUUUCCGGCUUGUGAGACAAACGAGCCAGCUCGAGCUGAGCUAUUUGGUAGCGAGCUAAAGUGCAGCUCGCACCGAGCCCAGCCCGAGCUGGCUCGUGUCCAGCCUUAGCUGCUGGCAGGGCCAUUGCAACUGAGAAGUGAGAAGUAUCUAGCUGGAUUUAGCAGCACCAAGUUCAAGGUUAUUGGAUCAUUGUGCUCUACCUGUAUGAAGGCAGGCCUAAAUGGCUUAGAUCCUUUUCACUCAUGGAAUUGACAUGGUAGUAUGUCAUGAAGUGGAGGUGGAACAUGUCGUCAUCUACUCAUUUGCACCUCAAGUUUAUUAUUACCAAGACACUUGUAUUGUGUAUGAAAGAGCGGAGAUGCUUGUGAACUGUAUGCUAGGUCACUGAUUUCAUUCACAUCACGACAGCAGAUUAUUAUCAUGGAUAAGAGUAUCCUAAAUAGUAAUGUUCUCUUCUUGGUCGCUGAUGCGGUAUAGGCUGGUUUUGCUGUUUCUGUCGCUGGUGGCAGCCUAUGUUGCUCGGUGAACGCCGAAUAAGAGGCCACAUUUGGACUGAAACACUCAAGCACCACACCGGCUUGAGCAUGCUACA